This 231-nucleotide ribosomal RNA is filed under the name uncultured bacterium. RNAcentral describes it as "partial 16S ribosomal RNA". It matches the Rfam family "Bacterial small subunit ribosomal RNA", at positions 104 to 334 of the family's 1533-position model. The record is from RNAcentral.
CGGGGUGGAGUAAUGUCUGGGAAACUAGCCUGAUGGAGGGGGAUAACUGCUGGAAACGGUAGCUAAUACCGCAUAACGUCGCAAGACCAAAGAGGGGGACCUUUGGGCCUCUUGCCAUCGGAUGUGCCCAGAUGGGAUUAGCUAGUAGGUGGGGUAACGGCUCACCUAGGCGACGAUCCCUAGCUGGUCUGAGAGGAUGACCAGCCACACUGGAACUGAGACACGGUCCAG